RNAcentral lists this unclassified non-coding RNA (201 nucleotides) under uncultured fungus. RNAcentral's name for it is "sequence contains ITS1". Lineage: Eukaryota; Fungi. The record is from RNAcentral.
AAGCAUAAGACGGGCCGAGGGGGGUUUCCGAGCUGGCCUUUCAUCGGGCACCCGUGCUCGCCCCCCCGGCCUUCCACUCCCACGCACCAGUGCACACGCGGCGAGGGGUGAAAACCCUUCCCGUUCUCUUCACACACGCCAGUUUUGUAAAUGCAUGUGAUAACCUCGUGCGUCCUCAAGGGCCACGUGAAUUUUUUGAAA